This 6898-nucleotide long non-coding RNA is filed under the name Citrus x clementina. RNAcentral describes it as "Citrus clementina (C. clementina) long non-coding RNA (CCLE_LNC001179)". Lineage: Eukaryota; Viridiplantae; Streptophyta; Magnoliopsida; Sapindales; Rutaceae. The record is from RNAcentral.
ACGACUUUUAAAUGAAUGGAUUGUAUUCGAUUCAUUUAUCAUCCAUUUAUAUAACGAAUUCUAAAUGAAUAAACAAAUCAAUGAACCUCAAACCUGAAUUCCAUUUUCAAAUUCACCUGUUUAUUAAAUGAGUCAAUUUUUUUUAUAACCAAAUCCACUUAAUUCGCAUCGAAUCAAAUAAAAUAAACAAAUCUUGACCUAAAUUACUACCCCUAAUUAAAAUUAAGAAACCCUAAAACUAAAAAAGGUGAACCCGAUCCCUCGUCUCUCUCAACUGUCACCACCUGUCAGCGACUCAUCUUCAGCCCAUCUGCCAUGCCAAAUCACCGUGAUGGGCCACUAAUCGUCUCCCUCAGCCAUCAUCUGUCAUCCACCCGUCGGUUGUCACUUUCUAUCAGCAUGACAAUAAUCUUCGUUGGUGAUGCAACUCCCACCUUAAAGCCUCUCAGUUAUCGUAGCUCCCGUUUGACUCGUCUGCUGUUAGCUCCUCACUUGAUGUUGACUUCAGCUCUUCAUAGUUUCAGCUUGUAGCAUUUCUUAAUUUUGAAUUUCUAACUUAUUGAAUCUGUUAGUGCUAUUACUGAUAUGAUGAAUUGAUCAUUGUGAUUUGUGAAGUGAUGAACCGUUAUUAAGUAUUAAUGACUUAACAUUACUAUUACUAUUUUGGUGGUUAAAGCAAUUGACUGCUACGGUUGAUUGGUGACUAUGAUUUGUGAAGUAAUGAACUAUUGGUAAGUGUUAAUGACUUAAGUUUUUGACACAAUGACUUAAUGUUUCUAAAACUGUUUUGGUGAUUGAAGCUACUAAUUUGUUGAUUAUAUUAGUGUUUGAAUAUUAUGGUGAAUUAGUGAUUGUGCUUUGUGAAGUGGUGAACUGCUAUUCUGAAAACUUAAGUUCUAUUUUGACUUGAUUAAAGCUCUUUUAUUUGUAUCUGUAAUAUGAAUACUGCAACCUAAAAUUGGCACUUUAACCCGAAAUUGCAACUCAAGCCAUAAUUGUAAUCGAAAUUACAACCCGAAUCGAGACCAUUAAAUGAAACUUACCCAAAUUGAACUGAAUCAAAAUAGCUUUUGAACCGUUUGGGUUGAAUUUUUGAAUCCGAAUGGGUUUCAAUUCGAAUCGAAAACCGAGAGACCAACCCCUAAUUGCACUGAUUAUAAAAAAAGAAAAAGUAGUUUUUUAAAAAAAAUUCCAAUUGCUACUUUUUUGGUACUAUAUUUUUGAAUGCAGGGGUAAUUUAAUAAUUUACUGUAUGUUGAGUCAUCAGGUUUAGCUAUUUAAUUGCCUUAAAUAAAUCCUAUUUAUUAGGAAAGUAACUGUUAGCUUAAAUAUUUCUUCUCCAUGAUUCACGAUCUGUUAGAGUGGAAAAUGGGUAGUUUGUUUUUCAGUUUUCUUCCCCUGCUUUUGUACGACUAUAAGUCAAUUAUUUUGCAUUCGAAUCAAAUAAGAAUUAUUCUGCAAUUCUACAGAGUUGUGUGCAAAGCCUCUUAUACCCAACAAAACUGGUAUCAGAGCCUAAGGAACUGCAGUUUUCUUAGUGAGAUUGAUAUUGCAGAAGAGUAAAACACGAGUUUGAGUGUCAAGAAGAUAUUCUGAAAGAAGUUCUUUUGCUAUGGCAACAGAGAAUAGCUUUGUUCAACCUUCCAUACCUCGGUUUGAUGGUUUUUAUGACCAUUGGUCAAUGUUGAUGGAGAAUUUUCUGAGAUCGAAGGAAUACUGGAGCUUGAUAGAAACUGGGAUUCCCACAGUUGCAGAUGGAGCUCAACCUACAGCAGCAGAACGCAAAGCCAUUGAUGAGGCAAAACUCAAGGAUCUGAAAGUGAAGAAUUACCUGUUUCAAGCCAUUGACAGAACCAUCAUUGAAACCAUCCUCAAUAAGGAGACAUCCAAGAGCAUUUGGGAGUCAAUGAAGCAGAAAUAUCAAGGAACUACACGGGUGAAACGAGCGCAGUUACAAGCACUUCGCAGAGAAUUUGAGAUACUGCAGAUGAAGGGAGGAGAAACUGUAGAUCAAUACUUUGGUCGGACAUUAACCAUUGUUAAUAAAAUGAAAGCUCAGGGUGAAGAUAUGAAGCCCAUUGUUAUUAUCGAGAAGAUUUUGAGAUCAAUGACUUCAAAAUUCAACUAUGUAGUCUGCUCUAUUGAAGAAUCUCACGAUCUCACCACAAUGAGCAUUGAUGAGCUUCAGAGUAGUUUACUUGUUCAUGAGCAAAUGAUGCAAACUCCUUCAGUAGAAGAGCAGGCUCUUAAGGUGACACAUGAAGACAUAAGUGGAGCAAGGGGCAGGGGAAGAGGAGGCUUUCGAGGUAGAGGAAGAGGAAGAGGUAGACAGCCAUUCAACAAAGCUUUGGUGGAAUGCUACAAUUGUCACAAAUUAGGACAUUUUCAAUAUGAGUGUCCACAAUGGGAAGGAGGUGCCAAUUAUGCAGAAUUAGAUGAAAGUGAAGAAAUGCUUUUGAUGGCAUAUGCUGACUUCAAUGAUGACAAGAAUAAAGAGGCUUGGUUUCUUGACUCGGGAUGCAGUAAUCACAUGAGCGGAAGCAAGGAAUGGUUCACUGAUAUUGAUGAACAAUUUCGUCAAUCAGUGAAGCUGGGCAAUGACACAAAGAUGGCAGUAAAAGGAAGAGGUAAUGUCAAAUUUCAAGUCAAUGGAAUUACGCAAGUCAUCACAAAUGUGUAUUAUGUGCCAGAAUUAAAAAAUAACCUCCUAAGCAUCGGACAACUACAAGAAAAAGGGGUUACAAUAUUAAUUAAAGAUGGGGUGUGUGGAGUUUAUCAUCCAAGGAAAGGGUUGAUCAUGCAAACUACAAUGUCCACCAACAGAAUGUUUGUCAUCCUAGUGACAAAGUUGCCUACAAACUCAACCUGCUUUCAAGCUAUUUCUGAGGAUAACACACAUUUGUGGCAUUGUCGUUAUGGGCAUCUCAGUUUCAAAGGAUUGAAAACUUUGCAGCAUAAAGAGAUGGUGAAGGGGUUAACUGUAAUGAAGAUGCCGAGUAAGCUAUGCACAGAUUGCAUGAUAGGGAAGCAACACAGGAAAUCAAUACCAAAGAAAAGCUUGUGGCGAGCUACACACAAGUUACAAUUGGUGCAUUCUGACCUCUGUGGACCUAUCACACCUGCUUCAAGUAGUGGAAAGAGGUAUCUAAUCACUUUCAUUGAUGAUUAUAGUCGAAAGGUGUGGGUUUCUUUUCUGUCUGAGAAAUCUCACGCACUUGAAGCUUUUAAAAUCUUUAAAAGUUCUGUUGAAAAAGAAACAGGUUGCUCCAUUAAAGGGCUUCGAACAGAUAGGGGAGGAGAAUUCACCUCGCAUGAGUUUACUGCAUUUUGUAGUGAACAUGGCAUAAACAGACAAUUAACAGCAGCCUAUACCCCUCAGCAAAAUGGAGUGGCGGAGAGGAAAAAUCGAACCAUUAUGAAUAUGGUUCGAAGCAUGCUAUCCGGGAAGAAAGUUCCAAAAUGUUUUUGGCCUGAAGCAGUUAAUUGGAUUGUUCAUGUUCUUAAUCGAAGUCCAACAUUAGUAGUCAAAUACAAGACGCCGGAAGAAGCAUGGAGCAAUCACAAACCAACAGUUCACUAUUUCAGAGUAUUCGGCUGUGUUGCUCAUGUCUUGGUACCUGAAGCAAAGAGAAAGAAACUUGAUGAUAAAAGCAUCAAAUGUGUCAUGCUAGGAAUGAGUGCAGAAUCCAAAGCAUAUCGUCUCUAUGAUCCUUCAACAAACCGAGUUGUGAUUAGUAGAGAUGUUGAAUUUGAAGAAGACAAAUGCUGGGAUUGGGGAAGAAGUACUGAAGCAGCAAAGCUGGAUGUGUUAGAUUGGGGAGAAAGUGAAGAAGAAAGCAAUGAUGAUACCUUUGAAAGUGAAGAAGAAGAAGGUGAUGAAGCUGCCUCAAAUGAUUCAUCAAGUUCAAGCCAAUCUUUGGGGGAAGAUCAGGAAGUAGGGAGGACACGGAGCCAACCCACUUGGAUGGAAGAUUUUGUAAGUGGAGAAGGUUUGUCUGAAGAGGAAGAACUAACCAAUUUUGUGUUUUUUACAUCUGUAGCCGAUCCAACCACAUUUGAAGAAGCAAACAAAAGUGCUCGAUGGAGAAAAGCAAUGGAUCAAGAAAUGGCAACAAUUGAGAAAAAUAACACUUGGGAAUUGACCACCUUACCUGUUGGGGCAAAAACUAUUGGAGUCAAAUGGAUUUUCAAGACAAAGUUGAAUGAAAAUGGAGAUGUUGAGAAGUACAAAGCCAGACUUGUGGCUAAAGGCUAUGCUCAACAAUAUGGGAUUGAUUACAAGGAAGUUUUUGCUCCAGUGGCUCGUUGGGACACCAUUCGAAUGGUGAUUGCUCUUGCUGCUCAAAAAGGCUGGAAUGUGUAUCAAUUAGAUGUGAAGAGUGCAUUUCUGCACGGGGAUCUCAAUGAGGUAGUCUAUGUUGAUCAACCACAAGGGUAUGUGAAAAAAAGAGAUGAACUGAAGGUUUAUAAGUUGAAGAAAGCACUGUACGGGCUCAAACAAGCUCCCCGAGCAUGGUAUAGUCAAAUUGAAUCUUAUUUCUUCAAACAAGGCUUUGAAAGGUGUCCACAUGAACAUACUUUGUUUGUGAAACAAAGUGAAGGAGGUAAUAUUCUCAUUAUUAGUUUAUAUGUUGAUGACCUCAUAUUUACUGGUAAUAAUGAGAAUAUGUUUGAAGAAUUUAAAAAAUCUAUGGAAAAGGAGUUUGAUAUGUCUGACUUGGGCAAGAUGCGUUAUUUUCUUGGAGUUGAGGUAGUUCAAAAUGAAAAUGGGAUUUAUCUUAGUCAGAAAAAAUAUGCAAAGGAGGUAUUGGACAGGUUUGGAAUGAGAGAGAGCAAUCCUUCUAAAAAUCCUAUUGUUCCUGGAUGCAAGUUGACUAAGGAUGAGAAUGGAGUGAAAGUUGAUGAAACUGAGUAUAAACAGGUAGUUGGGUGCUUGAUGUAUUUGGCAGCUACACGACCUGAUCUUAUAUAUGUUAUAGGUUUAGUGAGCCGCUACAUGGGGUGCCCGACAGAGUUACAUAUGCAAGUAAUAAAAAGGGUGCUCAGAUAUCUCAGGGGAACAGUGGAUUUGGGACUGCAAUACAAGAGGAAUGGAACAAACAAGUUGAAAGCAUUCACUGACAGUGAUUAUGCAGGGGACUUAGAUGAUCGAAGGAGUACAUCAUGGUAUGUUUUUAUGCUCAGUUCCUGUGCAGUUUCAUGGUCCUCUAAAAAGCAACCAGUGGUCACAUUGUCUACAACUGAAGCUGAGUUUAUAGCUGCUGCCUCUUGUGCUUGUCAAGGAGUUUGGAUGAGAAGAGUUCUUGAAAAACUUGGUCAUACUCAAAAUGAAAGCACUGUUAUUCACUGUGAUAACAAUUCAACCAUUAAGCUAUCCAAAAAUCCAGUACUUCAUGGCCGAAGCAAGCAUAUAGAUAUCCGUUUUCAUUUUCUCCGUGACCUGACCAAAGACGGAACAGUGGAGCUUGUGUAUUGCAGCACUCAAAACCAGAUAGCAGACAUCAUGACAAAACCGUUAAAGCUUGAAGUAUUUGAAGCACUUCGUGAAGGACUUGGGAUGUGUAGUGUACCAGAAUAAACUAAUUGCAAUUGUGCAGUCAGUUUAAGGGAGGAUAUGUUGAGUCAUCAGGUUUAGCUAUUUAAUUGCCUUAAAUAAAUCCUAUUUAUUAGGAAAGUAACUGUUAGCUUAAAUAUUUCUUCUCCAUGAUUCACGAUCUGUUAGAGUGGAAAAUGGGUAGUUUGUUUUUCAGUUUUCUUCCCCUGCUUUUGUACGACUAUAAGUCAAUUAUUUUGCAUUCGAAUCAAAUAAGAAUUAUUCUGCAAUUCUACAGAGUUGUGUGCAAAGCCUCUUAUACCCAACACUGUAUUUAUAUAGUUUUUACAUUUUACUGGUUUAAUUAUCAUUUUACAUAAUUAUAAUAAUUCCAUAGGCAAAUAGUCUUUUUACCAUAUAUACUUUAACAUAUUUUAAUUUUCUUAACAAUAAGGUGGUUAGUUGAUUUAAAAAAUAAAAAUUAAAUAGUACAGAGAUAUUGUUAGAAAUUUUUAGUGGCAGCGUGAAGUUGUAACAAAGUUGAGGCAGUGCAUAAAUAAUUGCAAUUUAAUUAAAGUUAAUGCACCAACCUAAUGCUCAUUAUAUUGUAAAUUCAUAUUUACCAAAUGAAAAUUUUCAAAAGGAUCUUACCACUAAUUGAAUGGAAUAAUAUCCUUCUUUGCUGACCUUAUGCUUUAUUGGGCAUCUAAUUCUUUGCACAUUUAGGUAGUAAAUUCAACUUCUCUAUAGCAUACCAAACUUAGAACUACCAGCCCAAGAAUUUAAUCUAAUUUUCUUUCAUCUAACCCAACUAUAAAGUCUAGUCAAGCAAACUUUUUGUUGUGAUAGUAAAAUACUCUUUUUUCUCAAAAUUUGAGUCCCUACAAUAAUAAAUUCAUUCUUUUUUCUAUAUACGUUUCGGUGGUAGGUAAAUUUCACUUUAUUAGUGUGUAAAUUUUUCAGCUACAUUAUAAUUUUACAAAUAAUUUUUGAGUUACAUUAUAAUUUUACAAAUUUGACUUUCGAAAUUUUGGUAGACCACGAAUUACAGCACCAAAAGACUUUUCAAAUGAGAUUUUACUAUUUAUUUGAAGAGCCUCAUCAAUCAAAAGAGUUCUAAGGACCAAUUAGUAAUGCUGUAACUUUUAAAAUAAUUAUUGUUAGUUGUGUGCCAUAAAAAUAAUUAGUUUUGAAGAGAUUCAAUUUAAUAUUUGGUAUUUAUUUUUAAAAGUACUAUAACUUUUAAAAGCAGUCAUAUAUGUUUGGUAAAUCUUAGUGUUAGACUACUGUAAAAAUGUAAAUGACUGAAUUGAGUAUAAUGUUAAAUAAAAUUUAUUUACACUUUUCUAAAAAAUUAUAUAAAAU